CCUACGGGUGGCAGCAGUCGAGAAUCAUUCACAAUGGGGGAAACCCUGAUGGUGCGACGCCGCGUGGGGGAAUGAAGGUCUUCGGAUUGUAAACCCCUGUCAUGUGGGAGCAAAUUAACAAGAUAGUACCACAAGAGGAAGAGACGGCUAACUCUGUGCCAGGAGCCGCGGUAAUACAGAGGUCGCAAGCGUUGUUCGGAUUCACUGGGCGUAAAGGGUGCGUAGGCUGUUACGUAAGUCGUGUGUGAAAGGCGCGGGCUCAACCCGCGAAAGGCACAUGAUACUGCGAGACUAGAGUAAUGGAGGGGGAAGCGGAAUUCUCGGUGUAGCAGUGAAAUGCGUAGAUAUCGAGAGGAACACUCGUGGCGAAGGCGGGUUCCUGGACAUUAACUGACGCUGAGGCACGAAGGCCAGGGGAGCGAAAGGGAUUAGAUACCCUUGUAGUC
Molecule: ribosomal RNA, 446 nt
Filed under: uncultured bacterium
Lineage: Bacteria
Description: partial 16S ribosomal RNA
Rfam family: Bacterial small subunit ribosomal RNA
Source: RNAcentral